CUUCUAUAGGGUGACACCAAAACGAGCCGCACACUCACAUGCACCCCCAUCCCCUGACAUGAAAAUGCCUGGUCCACGGCUGCGUCCACACCCCCUCCUCCCAGGCCCCGCCUCCUAAAGCCCGACACUCUCACCUGUCAGUGAGAUCAGCAGGCAGCAGCCACAGACCCGUGCAGGCAGUGCACUGGCCAGCCCUCCCCUCUCCUCCAGCGUCCACUCUCUCCUCACUCCGGGUCCUGACUGAGCCUGACACACACAAGCUCCGCCCCCAGACUGUAACUACACGAGCAUGUAGUUGCUGCUGAUGUUGCUGCAUGAUGUCAGCAUGUGUUGGAUGUCUACUCAUCCCGAAAUGAUAUGUGGCUGGCUACCCAGAUCGUAUCUACAGUAUAAGAAUGUUCAAGCGCAAAGAGGUUACAUAAGAGAUUCGUGGCCUUAGAGAAGAGAUGUUGUUGAUGUUAUUUCAUCAAAGAGAGAAAAAUGGCAUGAAACAUAAAGACAUCAAAUUAACUUAAUUUAAUUAUUUAUUCAUUUUCCUUUGAGAUUGU
Molecule: long non-coding RNA, 548 nt
Organism: Pseudophryne corroboree (corroboree frog)
Lineage: Eukaryota; Metazoa; Chordata; Amphibia; Anura; Myobatrachidae
Exons: 4
Source: RefSeq, a predicted model, not a curated record